CUGGUUCGAGACACCCGGAGGAAACAUUGGCAUCAGCCUAGUCACAAGAAAUGACACUAGAGAAAAAGUGUCCACAGAGGAUAACGGGUGUCUGAAACAAGAAUGGAACAAUCAGUUCAGCGUCACAGAGCAGAAUAUUUCAGUUGCAGUUUGUCAUUUCUUAUUAUCCAGAAUUUCUCUCAACAAUUAGCCUCUCAUCAUUACGAAGAUCAUUAGGAAAUUACCGCAUUCAGUUUCUACAAAUUGGUAGACACACCUGAGUUAUCGUGCAGAUGGUCUACACAAAGAACUUUCUGUUCCGUGCAUUAACUACGAGAUAAAAAGCUGAAAUUUGGCAGGAUGGCGCACCGAGGGCGGUAGGUAUCAGCUAAGAAAGGAAACUUCGAUAUAUCAAUGUUUAGGGAUUAGAAAAUCGGCACAACUAAAAAUAACCAAGUACCCCAAAAUCUCAAAGAUGAUUUGACUGAAAUUUAGUGACGUUAUAGAAAAAUGAAAAUUAGCCAACAUGUGUGUUUUAUGAAUUGUUGAUAUUUGUUGAUAGAAACGCUUUAGCGAGAGGCCCGUUCCAACACACCGCCUCCUUUUUUCACAUCUCAGCAUUGAGAAUCCAUCGCACUGGGAAAUGCAGUCUGCUGGAUUUUGGAAAUGAAAGCUUACAGCAGAACGACACCACUGGCCAAAAGGGUUGAUGGACAAGGGAAGGAGAGGAAGUGUCCUGCUGUAAAGGACCACACACACACACACACACAUGGAUGGGUGUCCCAACUGGAACUGGUUCCUUUCCAUUAACAAGCCAGGAGACCAAUGUGACAGAACCAUGGAGGAGGGCUUCAUUUCAAAACUACAUACCUCUCCAAAAUGCUAGAUGGCAGCAUCCCUGGGCUCUGGGAGCCAUUCCGAUACCCGCCAUGAAUCAUGGGACUUGUAGUGCAGUAAUGGCGGCCCUGCUGGGAUCCAUGGAUGCCACCAGAGGGAGCUACAGGGAGUUGGACUCUCUGCCUUAGGGAACUUCCGAUUGGCCUAUAAAAGGAGUGGCUCUACCUCUUUCAGCGCAUUGGAGUCAGGAGGAAGAGGGCCACACUUUGGGAGGAAGAGGAGUUUAAGGAAAGAUGAGAGAAGAAAAGAAUCACCGUUGAUCGUGUUUGUCUUGGUUAGAAAGGUAUUGGAAGAAUUAAAACCUUUAUUUG
Polypterus senegalus (gray bichir) is the source of this 1187-nucleotide long non-coding RNA. RefSeq lists it as uncharacterized. The record is from RefSeq and is a predicted model, not a curated record. Lineage: Eukaryota; Metazoa; Chordata; Cladistia; Polypteriformes; Polypteridae. The transcript has 3 exons.